GAUGAACGCUGGCGGCGUGCCUAAUACAUGCAAGUCGAGCGAACGGACGAGAAGCUUGCUUCUCUGAUGUUAGCGGCGGACGGGUGAGUAACACGUGGAUAACCUACCUAUAAGACUGAGAUAACUUCGGGAAACCGGAGCUAAUACCGGAUAAUAUUUUGAACCGCAUGGUUCAAAAGUGAAAGACGGUCUUGCCGUCACUUAUAGAUGGAUCCGCGCUGCAUUAGCUAGUUGGUAAGGUAACGGCUUACCAAGGCAACGAUGCAUAGCCGACCUGAGAGGGUGAUCGGCCACACUGGAACUGAGACACGGUCCAGACUCCUACGGGAGGCAGCAGUAGGGAAUCUUCCGCAAUGGGCGAAAGCCUGACGGAGCAACGCCGCGUGAGUGAUGAAGGUCUUCGGAUCGUAAAACUCUGUUAUUAGGGAAGAACAUAUGUGUAAGUAACUGUGCACAUCUUGACGGUACCUAAUCAGAAAGCCACGGCUAACUACGUG
RNAcentral lists this ribosomal RNA (497 nucleotides) under uncultured bacterium. RNAcentral's name for it is "partial 16S ribosomal RNA". It matches the Rfam family "Bacterial small subunit ribosomal RNA", at positions 28 to 507 of the family's 1533-position model. The record is from RNAcentral.